Molecule: long non-coding RNA, 807 nt
Organism: Bactrocera dorsalis (oriental fruit fly)
Lineage: Eukaryota; Metazoa; Arthropoda; Insecta; Diptera; Tephritidae
Exons: 3
Source: RefSeq, a predicted model, not a curated record
CUGAUUCUAUAAGAAAUCAACAAACGAAUGGGUGUUAUGAAAUAUUUCCACGCUAUUGGACCCAGGUUUAAAAAAUAUCCAUUUCCACGAUCCGAUAUCAUGCGCUAAUGCCAAACAAAAAAUUAAGGAUCUUAUAAAUGUUAGUAUUGGCGAAACUAUAUCGAAUCCGAUUCAAAUUUAUCGGACGGUACUUUAGAAGAUUUCAGUCUUUGGAGUGCACAAAAUUUGGAAAUCCAAUAGAAGCGAGGAAAGCAUUUCCGAGAGCUAUCAGUCUACUUAAAAGCAUCAGAUGGUCGGUUAAAUGAAAAUCCUUUGAAAAUUUGAGCAGAUUUUAAACAACAAUUUCCAAAAUUGUUUUACAUAGCGUAUAAGCAUUUAACGAUUGCCGCGUCUUCAGUACCUUCUGAAUACUUUUUCCGAAGGCUGUUAAAUUGCUUAGACAAAAAAAGCUGGGAUUUAUAAAUAAACAUAAAGAGACGAAACUCAAAGCUAUUGGGAUAUGUUAAAAUACAAGAUGAAGAUGGUUUUAGCAAGCAAAGGCAGCUUAGGGGGGUUUUCAGUAGAAAUGGUUUCCGUUUAAAUAAUUUAAUAGCCAGUUGCAGUGAUGGUGAAAAGAUGUUUUAAAUGGGAUAGUACGACGUUUUGAGGUCGAAUUGGCUUACAUACAUAUAUAGUUGAUUUUAAAUCCAUAUUGCCAAAGAACAUGCAACCUUCUUGAUCGGAAGAUUGGAAUACAGACUUAUCCACUGAUGUUUAGUGUUUGCUUGAAAUGGCUACGGCAGUACCGGAUGGUUUUAUUACAAUUGA